GGUGUUGUAGCUCAGUGGUAGAGCACUUGUCCAGCAGGUGUGAAGUACUGGGUUUGACCCUCAGCACCA
This 69-nucleotide transfer RNA is filed under the name Ictidomys tridecemlineatus (thirteen-lined ground squirrel). RNAcentral's name for it is "Spermophilus tridecemlineatus (thirteen-lined ground squirrel) tRNA". It matches the Rfam family "tRNA". From Rfam's summary of the family: Transfer RNA (tRNA) molecules are approximately 80 nucleotides in length. Their secondary structure includes four short double-helical elements and three loops (D, anti-codon, and T loops). Lineage: Eukaryota; Metazoa; Chordata; Mammalia; Rodentia; Sciuridae. The record is from Rfam by way of RNAcentral.